Molecule: long non-coding RNA, 1614 nt
Filed under: Linum usitatissimum (flax)
Lineage: Eukaryota; Viridiplantae; Streptophyta; Magnoliopsida; Malpighiales; Linaceae
Description: long non-coding RNA (LUSI_LNC005901)
Source: RNAcentral
UUACAUCUUUCUAAAUGCCUUUUUAAAGUACUCGUCCCUUGUGAACCUCUACAUUUAUAAAUCUUUCCACAGUAUUUGCAAGUAGCUUCCCUAUUCUUUUUAUCCUCCCAAUUCAACCUAUCAAAAAGUAUUUACAAGUAGCUUCCCUAUUCUUUUUAUCCUCCCAAUUCAACCUAUCAAAAUGUUCCCACACAACUGAAGUUCCAGUUCAACCUAUCAAAAUGUUCCCACACAACUGGAGUUCCAGGCAUACCUUGUGUACCCACUUGAAUAUUGGAUGAAGGAGGUGCAUUGCUCUCUUCGCCAUCAUCCAUGGUCUCUACUUGAUUAGAUUGAUUAUAUUAUAUCUGCAAAAAACAAUGAGGGAAUAUGGAUGAACAAAGUACUACAAAUCUUGUUUGCAAGUGCUUAAAUAUACAAAACUGACAAAAAAUUGAAGGAACCAGAACGAUGAUUAUAGUACUACAGAUCUUCCAUAUACUCACUCAAAAAUCGAAGAAAACAGUCUAUAGCUUUCCAGCCCUCCUAGCUAGAAACAUGUAUAACCCAGCGAAACCAGUUUCUAGGCAGAUAAUCUUAUCAGAACUUCUGGUGCUACUUUUACAUACUAGAAUAAUCUAUUAUACCAAACACCACCUUGCUGCUUAGAAAAUCAACUAAUUAAGGCUGCUUGGUUGCUGAGGAAAAAAUAGGUGGAAAAUUAGGGGAAAACAGAUUCUAGCUAGCUUUGUAGUCUUCUUAGCUAGUAACAUUUAUACAAAGCAAAACAUCAAUCGGACAGAAUUCAAUUCACAUCCAAGGGAGAUAAAGAUUAGAUUUACCAAAGUAGUGUGGUCUGAGUUUUCAUAAGAGCAUCUAUAGCUUCAUUCUCUGUGUCUUCAUUUCACCCAGAAAUCCAAUCCUCUCCACGAGUAGUAGUAGCAAAGCCAAAAACGGUUAUGAUAUGUGGUAAGUGAGAAGUGGUUGACUGCUGGAAACAAUGAUGAUAGAGAAAUGAGCUAGCUGUUCUUCUUCACUCAGAAGAGAAGCACCCACCUUCCCUUACAUGCCAAACAAAUUGAAAGUAGGGAGAGAGGUUAGUACCUGGGUCGUCGUCGUUGUAGCUAGAUCAUUGUCGUCAGUUAGGGGAGAGAAUGAAUUCAGGGAGAAAAUGGCUCUAUUGGCGGAGGUGGGUGGCGGUGGUGGAUAUCGUCCGAUGGGGAUUUGAAGGAGGAAGAAGGAGUUGGUUUGAGGUCUAACUUCUGAGUUCUGAGGAUGCAGGAGCCUUGGCCCGAGAAGAGAGAGGGAUUGAGCACGGUCGCCGAGGCUGGGUUGAAAAUAAAUAUUGGGUUGGGUUAGGGUUCGGGUUUUUGUGGGUCAAAAUUUAAUAUGUCCAACCCUGUUUGGGUUAAAAAAUCUAGCUCGACUUGGCUCAUUAUUUUAUGAACUCGACCCAACUCAUUCGUGUUAGGCUGAGCCGAGUUGGGCCUACGGGUUAGUGGGUUAAAUUUACAACCCUACCCAACACCCAUAUGGGAGUUGCCAAGUGUAUUCCACAUUUGCAGCAUCUAUCAUGGCUGCAAAAUAAUGGAGAUAGAUUCAUGUAACAAGAUAAUGUUGUAAGCACAUAUUAGA